UACGGAGGGUUCGAGCGUUAUCCGGAUUUAUUGGGUUUAAAGGGUGCGUAGGCGGAGUGGUAAGUCAGCUGUGAAAGUUUACGGCUCAACGGUGAAAUUGCAUUUGAUACUGUUGGUCUUGAGUAUAGAUGAGGUGAGCGGAAUUUGUGGUGUAGCGGUGAAAUGCUUAGAUAUCACAAAGAACUCCAAUUGCGAAGGCAGCUCACUGGGGUAUAACUGACGCUGAGGCACGAAGGUGUGGGGAUCAAACAGG
RNAcentral lists this ribosomal RNA (253 nucleotides) under uncultured bacterium. RNAcentral's name for it is "partial 16S ribosomal RNA". It matches the Rfam family "Bacterial small subunit ribosomal RNA", at positions 524 to 776 of the family's 1533-position model. The record is from RNAcentral.